This is a non-coding RNA of Acanthosepion pharaonis, 114 nucleotides long. The record is from the annotation of a GenBank genome assembly. Lineage: Eukaryota; Metazoa; Mollusca; Cephalopoda; Sepiida; Sepiidae.
UUACGGCCACAUCACGCUGAAAAACCGGUUCCCCUACGAUCACCGAAGUUAAGCAAGAUCGAGCCUGGUUAGUUCCUAGAUAGGUAACUGCUUGGGAAUGCCAGGUUCUGUAAG